This 348-nucleotide unclassified non-coding RNA is filed under the name soil metagenome. Its description in RNAcentral is "partial contains 5.8S ribosomal RNA, internal transcribed spacer 2, and large subunit ribosomal RNA". The stretch from base 1 to 120 matches the Rfam family "5.8S ribosomal RNA", at positions 35 to 154 of the family's 154-position model. The record is from RNAcentral.
GAUGAAGAACGCAGCGAAAUGCGAUAAGUAAUGUGAAUUGCAGAAUUCAGUGAAUCAUCGAAUCUUUGAACGCACAUUGCGCCCCUUGGUAUUCCGAGGGGCAUGCCUGUUCGAGCGUCAUUAUAACCCCUCAAGCACGGCUUGUGUGUUGGGCCCCGUCCUCCGAUCCCGGGGGACGGGCCCGAAAGGCAGCGGCGGCACCGCGUCCGGUCCUCGAGCGUAUGGGGCUUUGUCACCCGCUCUGUAGGCCCGGCCGGCGCUUGCCGAUCAACCCAAAUUUUUUAUCCAGGUUGACCUCGGAUCAGGUAGGGAUACCCGCUGAACUUAAGCAUAUCAAUAAGCGGAGGA